Molecule: ribosomal RNA, 254 nt
Filed under: Acidimicrobiales bacterium
Lineage: Bacteria; Bacillati; Actinomycetota; Acidimicrobiia; Acidimicrobiales
Description: partial 16S ribosomal RNA
Rfam family: Bacterial small subunit ribosomal RNA
Source: RNAcentral
AUCACGGAGAGUUUGAUUCUGGCUCAGAACGAACGCUGGCGGCGUGGAUAAGACAUGCAAGUCGUGCGACAGACCAGGAAUUGAUUACUUCGGUUUGAUUUUCCUGACGAUGAGCGGCGAACGGGUGCGUAACACGUGAGAAACCUGCCCUAAAGUUCGGGAUAGCCCUACGAAAGUAGGAUUAAUACCGAAUGUGGCCAAGGAAGGGCAUCUUCCCUUGGCUAAAGCUCGGUUAUAGAGCGCUUUUGGAUGGU